Molecule: unclassified non-coding RNA, 353 nt
Filed under: uncultured fungus
Lineage: Eukaryota; Fungi
Description: sequence contains ITS2
Rfam family: 5.8S ribosomal RNA (bases 1-52)
Source: RNAcentral
AACGCAACUUGCGCCCUUUGGUAUUCCGAAGGGCACGCCUGUUUGAGUGUCAUGAAUAUCUCAAGGUCAUCUCAAUAUAUUAUGAUUGGGGUUGUCUCUUGGAUUUGGAGGGCUUUUUGCAGGUUUCACAGUCAAUGUGAUCUGCUCCUCUUCAAUGUAUCAGCAAGGCUCUUGUGAUAUGAAGUCUCCUUUGGUGUUGUAGUUUCAUCUACGCCGUGGGAGGCUUGUCACCUUUGUGUCCACCUCGUUCUUGAGGUGUGAGGGAGCUGUGCUUCAAAUGGUCCAUGAUGGGAUGGACAAACUUGAUUCAAUCAUUUGACCUCAGAUCAGGUGGGACUACCCGCUGAACUUAA